GACGAACGCUGGCGGCGUGCUUAACACAUGCAAGUCGAACGGAAAGGCCCUGCUUUUGUGGGGUGCUCGAGUGGAGAAGGGGUGAGUAACACGUGAGUAACCUGCCCUUGACUUUGGGAUAACUUCAGGAAACUGGGGCUAAUACCGGAUAGGAGCUCCUGCUGCAUGGGGGGGGUUGGAAAGUUUCGGCGGUGGGGGGGGGACUCGCGGCUUAUCAGCUUGGUGGUGGGGUAGUGGCUUACCAAGUCUUUGAGGGGUAGCCGGCCUGAGAGGGUGACCGGCCACAUUGGGACUGAGAGACGGCCCAGACUCCUACGGGAGGCAGCAGUGGUGAAUAUUCCACAAGGGGCGGCCGCCUGAUGCAGCACCGCCGCGUGCGGGAUGACGGCCUUCGUGUUGUACACCGUUGUCCCCUGUGACGAUGCGUGUAUGACGGUAAUGUGUAAAGAAGCCCCCGCUAACCAUG
RNAcentral lists this ribosomal RNA (466 nucleotides) under uncultured bacterium. RNAcentral describes it as "partial 16S ribosomal RNA". It matches the Rfam family "Bacterial small subunit ribosomal RNA", at positions 28 to 505 of the family's 1533-position model. The record is from RNAcentral.